RNAcentral lists this unclassified non-coding RNA (288 nucleotides) under Hevea brasiliensis (rubber tree). The record is from RNAcentral. Lineage: Eukaryota; Viridiplantae; Streptophyta; Magnoliopsida; Malpighiales; Euphorbiaceae.
AAACAUUUUGCCGCAACAUAAGGGAUGCCAAAGACCUUUGAGCCACUCACUGUCAGGCAAAAGGGGAGUUCUCAUUACUACAAGAAGUAUAGCCAUAUUUGACUCAAGUGACUAGAGUAGAGAGGUUCAAAAGAACACACAUCAUUAGGAAAAUUGUAUUACAAAUCAUGAAAUCAAUAACUUCCAACUAAGCAGAAACUAACUUCCUGACAAGCAAAUUUCUCAUCAAAUAUCCUCUUGCGUAUAAGGCAUAAAUAUUACCAUACCACUCUUAAAGGUCGAAUAAAA